GAACGACAGAAGCUCAAGGUGAAGAAGGCCAUCGAGAAGGGCAACGCCGACGGCGGCCAGAUCCAUGCCGAGAACGCCAUCCGCAAGCGCACCGAGCACAUGAACUACCUCCGCCUCGCCUCCCGCCUCGCCCCAUACGCCCAUGACUUGACCCAGAACAGCAGCAUCCUUGAUGCGACUAACCUUCACCUAGUUCUUUCUCUCGCAGACUCGAAGGAGGCCGUAUGCAAGGCACCAAGGUGCAUGGUCCUCGCAAGCGAGGAACGGAGGAUGUUCGACAUCGGCUACGCAAACCACCAUUGA
This 303-nucleotide ribosomal RNA is filed under the name Triticum aestivum (bread wheat). Its description in RNAcentral is "partial small subunit ribosomal RNA". The record is from RNAcentral. Lineage: Eukaryota; Viridiplantae; Streptophyta; Magnoliopsida; Poales; Poaceae.